AUGUCGUUGGCAUCUCCUUCCCUCCUCUCUUCCCCGCUCCCCUCCCGCGGCGCCCUCGUCUUCAAGAAGCCGUCUGCUUCGUCGCUCGCAGUCUCAACGGCGAAGCGUGGAGUCCGGGUGGUCGCAGAGGCCGCGGCGGUAUCGUCCCCCGCAUCGUCGGUGUCGGCACAGCGGACCCAGCCGUCGGCAGCCGAGGUGGCGCGGACGGUGGUUGAGCUCGCGCCUUCCGGGACGCUGUCCGUCGUGGGCGCCGACGGUUGGCCGCUCGGUGUCGGCGCUCGUUUUGUCGCCGACGCCGCUGGCGCGCCCGCGCUCUGCCUAGCCACAGCGGGAGUGACCGUGCCUGAUGCGCGGGCAAGUUUUCACGUUGAGUUUCGGCAAAGUGGAGCCAGGACACCACAAUGUACUUUUCUUGGUGCCUUGACUAAACCUAGUGAUAAAUAUGAGCUGAAGAAGCUGUCUACUAGGUGGGAAACCAAAUUUGGGGAGGAGAUAGAUGAAGAUCGUUUGUAUCUAAUAUCUGUAGAGCGGAUCUUGCACAUGGAAGACUUCAACGAGGGCCGUGUGUGGGUAGUCCCGUCAGAAUACAGUGAUGCAGAACCAGAUCCGCUUCGAAACUUUGCUGAAAGCGUUGUUGAGGAAAUGAACAGUGAACAUUCUGAAGAUGUUCAUAGGAUAUACAAUAUUUAUGCCGAAUCAGAUUUUCAGGCAUUGGAUGUGAAGAUGAUUUGGGUAGACAGACUUGGUUUUGACUUGCACGUUCAUUCUGAGGAAGGCAUCUUCGCUGUUCGGAUACCUUUCUCAAGGCAGGUCUCUGACCAGAAGGCGGUGAAAUCGUCAUUCAACAUGAUGGCUCAUCAUGCAUGGGAGGUGGACAAGAGUUAUGCCACCCCAGAGUUUGAGAAGGUACAAUUCUUGAAGAAGGUCACAUAG
Molecule: ribosomal RNA, 933 nt
Filed under: Triticum aestivum (bread wheat)
Lineage: Eukaryota; Viridiplantae; Streptophyta; Magnoliopsida; Poales; Poaceae
Description: partial small subunit ribosomal RNA
Source: RNAcentral